This is a long non-coding RNA of Capra hircus (goat), 773 nucleotides long. RefSeq lists it as uncharacterized. The transcript has 3 exons. Lineage: Eukaryota; Metazoa; Chordata; Mammalia; Artiodactyla; Bovidae. The record is from RefSeq and is a predicted model, not a curated record.
CUCUGGCAAUCUGAAGAAGGAAUCUCAUUUCUUUGUGGUUAUUUUAGUACCUUUGAAUCCCGGUAAUGAACGAGUUGUCUGCUGACCAGGCAUCCCAGACAGCCUCUCCCUGCACCAUGAAGACUCAUCUCAUUUUAUGGGCCAUCAAAAGCUCUACAGUACUUCUCAAGCAAUAGGUUCAAGAUGACAUAUUCCACAACUUAUGGAAUAACUACUUGGGAAGUCAAAACUCACCACAUUGCUCUUUCCAGAUGAGGAAGAGAAUAAUCUGAAUUUUUUUAAUGAGGGAGACUGUUCUCCAGGUCAUUUUUCAGUCUCUUCCACCAGUUCUGGGGAAAAGACCCUCAAAAUGAGGACUCCAAAUUGCAGCCCCACUCCAGGUGUGAUAUGACCCACAAACAACCCACCAGGACUGGAAUAUCACUGAUCUACGUUCGGUCAACCUUCAAUACAGCCCACGAUGGUCAUCUCUUUUAGCAGGCAAGGCCUCCCGCUUUAAGGCAAAGUAACAACUCGGGAAUUUUUCAUGUAAAUUUCCUCCCAGCAAGUUGACUCCCAUCCUAUAUACUCAAGGUCAUCUUUUUGAACCUAUCAUAUUUAAUCUUGUUAUCUUAAGUAGAGGCCAGAAAGUCAAGGCUUUAAUCUUAGUCCUAUUAACCAUGGCUCAACUACUUCAGUUCAGUUCAGUCACUCUGACUCUUUGUGACCCCAUGGAUUGCAGCGUGCCAGGCUUCCCUGUCCAUUCAGCUACUUCUUCCUCCCCUAACUUUUCU